Molecule: ribosomal RNA, 446 nt
Filed under: uncultured bacterium
Lineage: Bacteria
Description: partial 16S ribosomal RNA
Rfam family: Bacterial small subunit ribosomal RNA
Source: RNAcentral
CCUACGGGUGGCAGCAGUCGAGAAUCAUUCACAAUGGGGGAAACCCUGAUGGUGCGACGCCGCGUGGGGGAAUGAAGGUCUUCGGAUUGUAAACCCCUGUCAUGUGGGAGCAAAUUAAAAAGAUAGUACCACAAGAGGAAGAGACGGCUAACUCUGUGCCAGCAGCCGCGGUAAUACAGAGGUCUCAAGCGUUGUUCGGAAUCACUGGGCGUAAAGCGUGCGUAGGCUGUUUCGUAAGUCGUGUGUGAAAGGCGCGGGCUCAACCCGCGGACGGCACAUGAUACUGCGAGACUAGAGUAAGGGAGGGGGAACCGGAAUUCUCGGUGUAGCAGUGAAAUGCGUAGAUAUGGAGAGGAACACUCGUGGCGAAGGCGGGUUCCUGGACAUUAGCUGACGCUGAGGCACGAAGGCCAGGGGAGCGAAAGGGAUUAGAUACCCUUGUAGUG